GAAAUGCGAUAAGUAAUGUGAAUUGCAGAAUUCAGUGAAUCAUCGAAUCUUUGAAUGCACCUUGCGCUCCUUGGUAUUCCUUGGAGCAUGCCUGUUUGAGUAUCAUGAAAUCUUCAAAGUAAAUCUUUUGUUAACUCAAUUGGUUUCUACUUUGGUAUUGGAGGUCUUUGCAGCUUCACACCUGCUCCUCUUUGUUCAUUAGCUGGAUCUCAGUGUUAUGCUUGGUUCCACUCGGCGUGAUAAGUUAUCUAUCGCUGAGGACACUGUAAAAGGUGGCCAAGGUAAAUGCAGAUGAACCGCUUCUAAUAGUCCAUUGACUUGGACAAUACUUUUAUGAUCUGAUCUCAAAUCAGGUAGGACUUCCCGCUGAACUUAAGC
Molecule: unclassified non-coding RNA, 378 nt
Filed under: plant metagenome
Description: partial contains 5.8S ribosomal RNA, internal transcribed spacer 2, and large subunit ribosomal RNA
Rfam family: 5.8S ribosomal RNA (bases 1-105)
Source: RNAcentral